This 489-nucleotide ribosomal RNA is filed under the name uncultured bacterium. Its description in RNAcentral is "bacterial SSU rRNA". It matches the Rfam family "Bacterial small subunit ribosomal RNA", at positions 32 to 504 of the family's 1533-position model. The record is from RNAcentral.
CUAACGCUGGUGGCGUGUCUUAGUCAUGCAAGUCGAACGAGAAAGUGCCCUUCGGGGCGCGAGUACAGUGGCGAACGGGUGAGUAACACGUGGGUAACCUACCUUUGAGUGGGGGACAACCCUUCUAACGAGGGGCUAAUACCGCAUAAUGCAGCGGCUCCGCAUGGAGAUUGUUGUUAAAGGGGCGGUUUCGGCCGUCCUGCUUAAAGAUGGACCCGCGGUCCAUUAGCUUGUUGGUGAGGUAAAGGCUCACCAAGGCGAAGAUGGAUAGCCGGCCUGAGAGGGUGAUCGGCCACACUGGAACUGAGAUAAGGUCCAGUCCCCUACGGGGGCCAGCAGUCUAGAAAUUUGCACAAUGGGGGAAACCCUGAUGCAGCGACGCCACGUGGAGGAUGAAGCCUCUAGGGGUGUAAACUCCUGUCAGAAGGAAAGAACGCGGAAAUUUAUUUCCGUUUGACGGUACCUUCAAAGGAAGCCCCGGCUAACUUC